UGGGAGAGCCUCUCUUUGCUUUGUACUCUCCUGAUCCCACUCCCUGCUCUCAGAGUCCCCUGAAAGCUUCCUGGAGACUGCAUACCAACAACCAUUUCUCCUUCUCCCUGCUCCCUACUCCUUGCUCUGGAAGAAUGUUACUCAUUAUAGCUUUUUUGUUGAUCAAAAACCAAAGAACCACAUUUUCUUCAGUCUUUGUCUUUCCUCUCUUCUUCCCAAAUUCUGCUUUAUACUAAGCCCACUCUUCUAUCAUCAUGUACUUUGUAAAAUUAAACCAGAUUUCAUCUUACCCCUUUGGUAAGGAGAAGUGACUAAGGUGACCAAGGUGGUGUCAAAUUAGCUUCACACAUGGAGUCUUUGAAGAGAUGUGGCAACUCUUUUUGUAGAUGGAGGUCUUUAAGGUCAAUUUCCUGCACUAUGCUUGCUCUUGGUCAGAGUCCUUCAAAGGACUAGGCAGGGAGCUAGAUACGAGUGGGACCUCUCAGGAUCUCACCACCUUAUGGUGCCAUUUGAGAACUACUGACCUUGAGAAUAGUUUAUUCUGUUCAGAGGCUAUGGAGGAAAAGCAGCAGAUCUUUCUUAGAUUUGAAAAUGAUGAAGUUUCUAUGAGCCAUGAGGCUGCAUGGAAAGGGCCCAGAUUUUCUCAAAGAAUGAUGGUCAGAUUAUAUUAGGCACCUAGAUCCUCCUUCCUCCCUUUCCCCUCCCCUAGGUAUAAUUUCCUGCCCCUUCUUUGGCUAUGGGAAUCUUGAUGUGAAACACUCCAUAAACUAUUGGGCCCAAUUAUUUUUAGCUAAGAUUGGUCCUUCAUUCUUUCAAUGUGCCUAGGUCAUCUGUGAUUAAAUUGAUGAGUAUUUGCUGCCAGUGGAGUCAAGGCUUUUCUAGAGCCCUGACUGGUAAAGUUCCAUUCGAGAUUGAGGAAAUUCCUCCACCCUAAACCACCCAAGGAUUGUGUGAGCUGCUCCUUCCCCCUGCUUUUCCCACCCUUUUCCCCCUUUGCUGUCACUAAAGAACUCUAAUCUCUUGUAUCUGUAUCUUCAGGCCCCUGUGGGACUUUUGGGAAUGAAUAUUAAGGUUUCAUUGAGUUCCAAACAUCUCCAGGAGGUGAAACGUAAGUGAAAGGAACUUCUACUAAGUGUGAAUAUGAUUGACAUCCAGGUUACAGGCUUUCUUCUGUGUAAACACAAGACAAAAUUCAGAGGACGUCAAGUAGACAUAGCUUAUCCUGUGGGGCUGAGGAAAGGCAGAGAAGAGAUAAUUUUUCUGAGUGUGCUCCCUACCUUAACCUCUCACCCUUAGGAAAUAUCAGAGGGAAUGAGGUCUUGAGGUGUUGCAGGGGAAGAGAUUUGAAAGUGAAUUUUUAAAAACACUUCCUUGAAGGCCAAGGUAUAUGCACUGGGUACAUGAAAGCCCAGGCUUUUAGCUUUUAAAGUAAAAAUUCUGUUUAGGCAAGUUUCUGGUUUUGCCAAUAAUAUCCCUCACCAUCUCUCUCACCCCAUAUGCCUCCCUUCCUUCUGCAAAGAAGGAAUUCCUUAAACCCUUCAGCAUUGUCCUCCUAUACCAUCAGAUACUCAGGUAAAAUCCAGUGUUAACCCAGCUGCUAAUUCGAAUGGGCUAAUUUCAGGUGGCAUAAAGGUGGGUAUGUGGGUGUGCUUGGAUAUGCAAGGGUGUGUGUGUAUUAUCAAUAAUGGGAAGGACAUUCUUGUAAGCUGAUAUUCUGAGGAGUACUAUCUACUGUCUGUUGAGUGUUGAUCACCUGUUAAAAGAGUGUGGGGAGCAAGACAGAAUUCUUGGUUUGGGUUUCCAGAUGAGGAGCAGCCAUCCUUUGAUGGGGAGCAGCCAUGUAGUCCAUUCACUGUUAUUGUUGUCUCUACCCUUCCUUCCACCCCGACUUCUUCAGGUAUGAUUAACUUGGCUACUGUGUAGUACAGGUGUGGAUACCAUUGCAUGGAUUAAUGAAUUCUUGUUGACUUUUGGGGGUUGACUCUUGUCAGACUUUGUACCAGAUUACCUUUUUGGUUAAAUCUUAUCAGGGGCAAAGAGAGAGUAGUGGAUGGAUAGGAGCUCAUAACGGAUGGGACUAGCAAGAGUAGGAAAAGGUAUGGUCUCGCUGUAGUAUCUAGGAAUGAAUACACUGGCCUCUCAUGAAGGCACUGUUUCUCUGGUUUCUUGAGUGACUAUUAUAUGUAAUUCAAAACACCUGAUAGGAGAAAGAUCCGUCCUCUUGGUAUUCUCUGGAGAGUUUUUAUGUCCUCUUGUUUUUUGAGGAUCAAGAAGUUUUGCCCAGGAAAAAAUGGGGACAUACAAAUGAUCUUGUAAUAACUAGAUGGAUCUUCAGUGCUGCUGUUACUGUUAAUGUAUGGUACAUGGGAGUGGAAAGUAAAAGGAUGGUAGUAAAAAAAACAAUCUGACAUUCUAACAUGUUCACAUGUUCACUUGUCACCGUGUAGAGCUGAUAAAACAUGGAUCAAGGGAGAGGGAUCAGAGUAGUCAAAUGGGUGGCUCCCAUGCAGGGAGGAUAAAAUUUUGAUAAUCUAGAGGAAAGCUAGUUAGUUCCUUUUACCUUACCUGGUAGUUCAUUGAACCCUAGAAAUGUUGUACUAGAACUCUAUUUUGAUGAGUCUUAUCACAUGAAUUUAAAUGAUAAAUGAUGCCCCCAUCCCUGACUUUCCACAUUGUAGGUGUUUCUUACUAUGUGCCUUGACAGUCCACCAGAAUUCCAGAUGGCCAGUUAGACUGGACAGAGUGGCAUCCCAAUAGUAUGAUAAGAUGUCACUCUCUCCUCCUACCCUCAAUAGGAUGGGCUUUGUGGUGUCUGAUAACAUCCUGUCAUGGGAACAGCUACAGGUCUUUCUGUGUGUGUGUAUGUGUGUGUGUGUGUGUGUGUGUGUGUGUGUGUGUGUAGUGUGUUUAUGUCUUUAUGCAGUUUAGCUUCCAGAAGGCUCUGCUAUGUGAUAAAGAGGGGGACCAGUAUUCCCUGUUCUUCACUGCCUUCCCCAAUUCCCACCCAGCUCAUGAGUAACAACACAACCUUCCUUUCCACAGAGAACUCUGAAUAUGUUGUCUAAAGCCUCCUGUUGAGGGUAAGAGCAGGAUCCUAUAUUUGGUUGAAUUGAGGAGGGGAGGGGAUGACAACUAAGGUUGGAUGUGAGCUCAGGGUGAGAAAGUCAGGAAGUUGUCAUCUCAGUAAGAAACAUAGCAAUUUCCAGGAGACUUGUCUGGUUGAUUUUGUUUUUUAAAUGCUUUGCCAAACUGGCACUGGUGACAGGAAGUAUUUUUCUAGUCUCCAGCCAAGGCCCCUUCUUUUGGAAGGUGUGUGUGUGUGUGUGUGUGUGUGUGUGUGUGUGUGUGUGUUUGUGCACACCUGUCUGUCAGUGAUGGUCCAAAAGAGAAUUGUAAAUAAAUCAUGAUGUUUUUACAUAGCCUUUCUCCAUAGUCACCAAACAGCCCCUGCUUCCUCCCCUUUCCUCUUCUACUCCCCAAUAUUUUCCUCUGGUUUCCCUAGGCCCCCAUGGCCCUUAUAAUGUUCAUACACAGCAGCUGAGCCUUACUGCCUGGUUCUGAACUGGGCAUCUUGAAAGAUUGUAGCAAGUGUCUCGUGCCCCAAUGGGAGACGGGCAGAUCACAAACCUCCUUGCAGUAUUCACUGUGGGUAAUUUAUUUAACUAGUGAAUGUAGAUUAAAGUAAUUAAAACGAAGAGAAACUAAUGCUUUGUCUGCGGGAUCAUGUGUCCUCCUUGUAUCCUAACCUGAUUUUUAAUUUGUCGUCUUGUUCUUUUGAGGCUCUCCUCUGAGGGCCUAGUAGAGAGCCAGUGGCAUGGGGGAAGGGAUCAGGGACAGUGCUGUCAGAGUGGAUACAGGGGGAGAAGAACUGAUCGAGGAAACUCUGGAGGUCUUAAGUCCAGAUGGAAGGGCAGAGUGGAUCUUUAGGAGGCCUAUUUUAGUACUGGACUCCAGUGACUUCAGAAGUAGGGGAGGAAGCUUGGGGCUGGGGUUUUAUUAGGGGCUCAGCCAUCCAUCUCUUCCCCCUCCCUUCCCUCCUUCUCCCUCCUUUCUUCUCCCCAUUUCCCUUCUUCCCCUUCCACAAGCACUACAUCCUUUGAUUCACUUAAAAUGAGAAAUUUACAGAAAUAAUAAUUUUUAAACAAAGCAAGAGAAGUGUUUUUAACGCUGUUGGGAAUGAUUCAUUAUGUUACUUUUGUGGUCUGCGUUCUGUUUG
Long non-coding RNA from Sarcophilus harrisii (Tasmanian devil), 4216 nucleotides. Lineage: Eukaryota; Metazoa; Chordata; Mammalia; Dasyuromorphia; Dasyuridae. The record is from Ensembl.